Molecule: long non-coding RNA, 1806 nt
Filed under: Sipha flava (yellow sugarcane aphid)
Lineage: Eukaryota; Metazoa; Arthropoda; Insecta; Hemiptera; Aphididae
Description: uncharacterized LOC112681778, transcript variant X1
Source: RNAcentral
AGUAGCGUCAUAAAACGAAUAAAUUAAGUUGUGCCAUAUGGACCAGAUUUUAAAAUUAAAAAAGUCAAAUGCAGAAAUCAUCUACUGUAAAAUUAUGUGAUGAAAUUGAGUGCCCUUACAAAAAAAACAGAAUAUCCUAUUAUUUUCCGUAAAUUUAUAAUCAACAAUAUUCUGCGAUUUCGGUCUGAUAUUAUGAAAUCAAUUAAAUAUCAUUUGAGCACAAAUUUAACACUUCAGCAAAAAACCAGCUAAGAAAAGACAUAAAAAACUCACCAUACCACCGUCUCGGUCAACAAUUGUGCUUCUUACUUUUGUACGGGACCAAAAGUUGGUGAUAUAAAUUUGGUUCCGGAGGCAGAAAAAACUGGUUUAAUGACUGAAAUUCGUAAUAUAGUUUGUAGGCUAGUUCUAAACUCUGAUAGCUUGAUAGAGGAAGUCGAUAAUAACUCGUGUGAGCAGUCUAAUUCCAUUAUUAACAAACAUAUCGGAGACAAGCGAAUUAAUUUUACUCAAGGUAAUAAUUAUCAAACACGAGUACAAGCUGUUAUUGUCGCAUAUUAUUCGAGAAAUUACACGCGAAUAAUACAUAAGAAAAUUAUGCUUAAAAGCCCUGGAAAAUUGGCUAAACUGCAUUCGAAUAAUAUUGACCGUAUACGAAAUAAUACAACAAUAAGACGACGAAAAUUUUUUACUGUUUAAAACCCAAAAGAAAAUAUAAACUGCCGGACAAAGACUAUGACUUAGCAGAGUCUUUGGAUGAUGCUCAAAGUCUCAGCCCAGAAGAUUUUGCCGAAAAAAAAAAGGCAGGGGUGUUAUUAUUGGUACCUAUACGCGGAUAUACAGCGUAUUCACAUCAGCAGGUUAUUAGCAGUUAGCAAUUAUUAUUACAUCUAGUGCGUUCAUCAUUUUAAAUUGACGUGAACAUUUUCCAAUAUAAUUUCCUUGUAGAAUUUUUUCAUGACAGGCCCAUCCUAUAUUAUGAUAUCCAAGGUAUCAUUACACGUUUCGGCUAAGUGACAUUAUCAUGUAUUGAAAUUAUACUUUAAGAGGAUCUCAAGUUUUUCUAAAAACAUCCUAAUUAAAUCGGGUGUUAAAUUAACAUUAAAUUAACAUUUAAGUGCGAGGCACGUAAUAAUAUGCUGUAUCGGGCGCCGCGAGAGAUUUGGUGAAGGGAGCCGCGUUGGAGAAACCGGAGAAACCAAUGUAGUGCGUUAAUAUCUAAUUAAGUGUACGAAUGAUAAUGUCAUUGAUAGUUCAGGAGCCGUGGGAUGAAUCAGUUUGAUGAAUACCUCGGCCAUAAUUUACAAUAUAAGUUGUGUUUUCAAACGGAAACUGUGUACUAUAGUAAGUUAAUAGUUAAGCCACCAUAGCUUUUGAGAACCUGUUUCAGUUAAAAAUCAGUUCAACAAUCCGACCCAAUCAAUCACAGUCUUAGAACGAACAGAAUAAUAGUCAUUAUUUUAAAUUGAAUGUUAUAUGUUGUACACGUCAAACCAUGUAGGCCAACCACUUGCGUUUACUUAUUACGUUUUUAGUUCAUUUUAUUUCAAGUAUAAUAACAUAGAAGCAUCUGAGUCUUAAGUUUUUGUGCAUUUAUAAUUUUCUGAAAUCGCUGAUUAUUUAAUCAUAACUUUCAGGCAUCAAGGUUCUAAUCGUUGUAAUCGUUGUCGUCAUGUAUCUCGUGGGCAGCAAAAUUGAAUAAUUAUGCUUCGUUUCAAAAACACACAAUUCGAUGACUUGAUGACAAAUUAAGUUAUCAAUUAUUAUGAAUUUAUUAUGAAUAAGUAUUAAAUCAUUAUUUUGUAU